CCUACGGGAGGCAGCAGUAGGGAAUAUUGCACAAUGGGCGAAAGCCUGAUGCAGCAACGCCGCGUGCGCGAUGAAGGUCUUCGGAUCGUAAAGCGCUUUUCUGGGAGAUGAGAAAGGACAGUAUCCCAGGAAUAAGUCUCGGCUAACUACGUGCCAGCAGCCGCGGUAAUACGUAGGAGGCGAGCGUUAUCCGGAUUCACUGGGCGUAAAGCGCGUGCAGGUGGUUUGGUAAGUUGGGCGUGAAAUCUCCCGGCUCAACUGGGAGAGGUCGUUCAAUACUACCGAGCUAGAGAGCAGAAGAGGAAGAUGGAAUUCCCGGUGUAGUGGUGAAAUGCGUAGAUAUCGGGAGGAACACCAGUGGCGAAGGCGAUCUUCUGGUCUGUUUCUGACACUCAGACGCGACAGCUAGGGUAGUAAACAGGAUUAGAUACCCUGGUAAUCCUAGCCGUAAACGAUGUGAACUUGGCGUUGGUGGGUUAAACUCCAUCAGUGCCGAAGCAAACGCGAUAAGUUCACCGCCUGGGGACUACGGCCGCAAGGUUAAAACUUAAAGGAAUUGACGG
Molecule: ribosomal RNA, 563 nt
Filed under: uncultured bacterium
Lineage: Bacteria
Description: bacterial SSU rRNA
Rfam family: Bacterial small subunit ribosomal RNA
Source: RNAcentral